UACGUAGGAUGCAAGCGUUGUCCGGAAUUAUUGGGCGUAAAGAGCUCGUAGGCGGCUUGUCGCGUCGGCUGUGAAAACCCGUGGCUCAACCAUGUGGUCUGCAGUCGAUACGGGCAGGCUAGAAUUCGGUAGGGGAGACUGGAAUUCCUGGUGUAGCGGUGAAAUGCGCAGAUAUCAGGAGGAACACCGGUGGCGAAGGCGGGUCUCUGGGCCGAUAUUGACGCUGAGGAGCGAAAGCGUGGGGAGCGAACAGG
Molecule: ribosomal RNA, 254 nt
Filed under: uncultured bacterium
Lineage: Bacteria
Description: partial 16S ribosomal RNA
Rfam family: Bacterial small subunit ribosomal RNA
Source: RNAcentral